Parachaetomium inaequale is the source of this 115-nucleotide non-coding RNA. The record is from the annotation of a GenBank genome assembly. NCBI's taxonomy places the organism in Eukaryota, Fungi, Ascomycota, Sordariomycetes, Sordariales, Chaetomiaceae.
AGCUAUAUAGUGUAGUGGUCAAUAUAUAUACUCUCUAUAUACCUAACCUCUAGACUUGUCUAGAGGUUAGGCUAUGACUAGCGUAGGGUCGUGGGUUCGAUUCCUAUUAUAGCUA